AAGCUGUUUCCCCUCCAGGAAAAAAUGCCCCCUGCCUCCCAUCCGUAUGAAUGGAGGAAUAUCGGAAUAAGAUGCUGGAUGGCAUCAGCUCAUUGAGAACAUCGCCCAUCUGCAGUGCUUCUCCUCCUCCCUGGGCCCCGAGGGAUCUGCCUGGCCCCAAAAGAGCCGCCUUCACACUUGGCCCAGAGACUUCAGCUUCUCCGCGCCUGUCCCGCUUGGCUGGGGAGCAGAGGAACAGUUGAGGAGACAUGUGUCACAACUUGCACGAACCCCAGGAGCCUGUUGGGGGGAAAGCCCCUGAUUCUUACUCAUAGAAGCCGGGGCCUUUAUCUUUCCCAGGAGAUUAAGCCUCAGUCCCCAACCUCAGCGUUCACACUGCUGACCCAGCCAGAGCAGUGACUGGAUAAAUGAGUGACUGAAAGAAUAAAUGAGGUGAUGAAGAUCAAGUAGCACUUGGAAGGAGCGCGUUCAUAUUCAUUUUAUUACAGCACAAUACAUAGGACACAAAAUUUACUGUUAGUGACAUUUAGUCCAUCCAUAAUAUGCAAUCGUCACCUAAUGCCAGCACAUUUCAUCACCCUAAAAGGAAGUCUUCCUUCCCCUGGUACUGAGAUAGCAAGCAGCAGAGACAAUGCAUCCCA
RNAcentral lists this long non-coding RNA (641 nucleotides) under Marmota monax (woodchuck). The record is from RNAcentral. Lineage: Eukaryota; Metazoa; Chordata; Mammalia; Rodentia; Sciuridae.